GUGGAAAUGGAAUCAUUCAAGGCCAGAAUGGUCAGGUAUUUAGGUGACCAAGGCUACUAACUGUCCACAGAAGCAAAAGGUAUCUCCCAAAAUAGAUAGAUUUUCUUGAAUCCUUGAUCUUUUAAUUUUUUAUAGUCAAUUUGUAAAUUGAAUUAGAAGCUGGGCAUGAUGGCACACACUUGUAAUCCCAGAGGCUUGGGAGGCUGAGGCAGGAGAAUUACAAGUUCAAAGCCAGUCUCAGCAAGUUAGUGAGACCCUAUUGUAAUGCCAGAUUCGUGGGACCCCAAUAGACCUCCAGGAGCCGAAUCCGAUGCAAUCACACAAGAGUCUUUAUUGCAAGCUCGAGCCUGGACUCACAAUCGUUCCUGACACAGCAGUCCCAGGGAGUAGUCCCGGUCCUUUGUUCAGUGAGAUUUUAUAGGUUUUUUUUGGGAUACUCUAUGCAUCACAACAUCACACAGCAAAUCAUUCCAUAUCGCGGGAAAGUCAAACAAGAACUCUUAACAUUGAUUAGCACAUUCACUGGUGGGAACAAGUUGGGUAGCGGUGAUUGGUCAGAACAAGAGGGGGAUUCAUUUGAACUGAUUGAUUUAGGCCACGAGGGGUGUAUGUGCCAAACUACAUGGUUUCCCAACAUGUUAUCAACCACCAUAAACUACUGGGGGGGUCAUCAGUCAUCCCAGGUAUUUUCCCUGUCUCAUGCUGAUUGGUGGUUGCUAGGGGGUUGCUAUGGGUCCUCACCUAGCCUAACUGCGUCAGGGACACCUAGCGCCAAAGAUCUCUCCUUUUAUUUACAGACAAACAACUCAGCAGUGUGGGUAUGUGCUUAGGGGUGCUCUGUGGGUUUUUCCAAGGAUAAGGGUCACGCCCCCUUCCUUGAACAGGUUUUGCUCUGAGGUAGAGGCUGGUUUCUCAAAAGUGGAGUCACAUCAGUUUCUCACUAUCUCUAAUGAAAAAUAAGAAGGGCUGGGGAUGUGGCUCUGUGGUUAAAGCACUCCUGGGUUCAAUCCUUGGUACAAAAAAAAUUAAAAUAGAAAAAGAUGUAUAGUCUUUAAAAUAUAAUGAAAACAAAACCCAAAAAACAAAACAAAACAAAACAACAACAACAACAACAAAACCCCAAACCAUCUACCAUUAACUAUUUGGAGGAAUGGAAAUAAUUAUGAAUUUUUUUUGCAUGGCUUAAUUACAAUAUCUAUUUUUAGUAGAAAUUUGAACAAUGUAUGCUUCAUUCUGUUGAUGCU
Molecule: long non-coding RNA, 1244 nt
Filed under: Marmota monax (woodchuck)
Lineage: Eukaryota; Metazoa; Chordata; Mammalia; Rodentia; Sciuridae
Source: RNAcentral